This is a long non-coding RNA of Coregonus clupeaformis (lake whitefish), 322 nucleotides long. RefSeq lists it as uncharacterized. NCBI's taxonomy places the organism in Eukaryota, Metazoa, Chordata, Actinopteri, Salmoniformes, Salmonidae. The record is from RefSeq and is a predicted model, not a curated record. The transcript has 3 exons.
GUGAUGAUUCGCUCACCCCCUACUGACCAGGAGAUGAGCCAAGCCGCCCCGCCUCGCUACCUCCGAGACCUCUUGAGGCCUACCUCUCCUCUGAAGACCCAGUGAGGGUGGCGCUCAAUCAGAGAGCUGUUGAGGGACUGGUUAGGAAGAACACUACUACAGCCAGUGAGGCGCAGUCAAGAAAUGGAACGGCAAGGCCACAGAAUAUGACAUACGCAGAGCUGUGGGAGACCACCUCAAGCAUGUCCCUAGUAGAGAAGGGGGUAGUGUUUACCCAGUGGUGUAAAGUACUUAAGUAGUACUUUAAAGCAUUUUUACUUAA